This 279-nucleotide signal recognition particle RNA is filed under the name Candidatus Iainarchaeum sp. RNAcentral's name for it is "signal recognition particle sRNA". It matches the Rfam family "Archaeal signal recognition particle RNA". Lineage: Archaea; Nanobdellati; Candidatus Iainarchaeota; Candidatus Iainarchaeia; Candidatus Iainarchaeales; Candidatus Iainarchaeaceae. The record is from RNAcentral.
UUGUGGGCUAGGUUGGAGGGUCAGCGGUCCUCUGUUGCCAGAAAUCCGCUUCAUGCUGGGACCGAAGCUUUGGGAGCGGUUUAACGCUGCGGGAAAAAGCCAUUGCUGCAUGCGAUGAGCUUUUGUCCUCUUAGGUUUUUUGCUGCUGCGAAACCCGCCAGGCUCGGAAGAGAGCAACGGUAACAACAACAAGGAAUGCUUCGAGGGAAGCGAAAGCAAGCGGCGGCAGUGAAAAAACUUUUUCCGACAGAUUAAAUCCAUUCCAAAGCACGCUCACAU